AGUGAACGCUGGCGGUAGGCCUAACACAUGCAAGUCGAACGGCAGCACAGUAAGAGCUUGCUCUUACGGGUGGCGAGUGGCGGACGGGUGAGGAAUACAUCGGAAUCUACUUUUUCGUGGGGGAUAACGUAGGGAAACUUACGCUAAUACCGCAUACGACCUACGGGUGAAAGCAGGGGAUCUUCGGACCUUGCGCGAUUGAAUGAGCCGAUGUCGGAUUAGCUAGUUGGCGGGGUAAAGGCCCACCAAGGCGACGAUCCGUGGCUGGUCUGAGAGGAUGAUCAGCCACACUGGAACUGAGACACGGUCCAGACUCCUACGGGAGGCAGCAGUGGGGAAUAUUGGACGAUGGGCGCAAGCCUGAUCCAGCCAUACCGCGUGGGUGAAGAAGGCCUUCGGGUUGUAAAGCCCUUUUGUUGGGAAAGAAAAGCAGCAGGUUAAUACCCCGCUGUUCUGACGGUACCCAAAGAAUAAGCACCGGCUAACUUCGUG
This 492-nucleotide ribosomal RNA is filed under the name uncultured bacterium. RNAcentral describes it as "partial 16S ribosomal RNA". It matches the Rfam family "Bacterial small subunit ribosomal RNA", at positions 29 to 507 of the family's 1533-position model. The record is from RNAcentral.